This is a long non-coding RNA of Papaver somniferum (opium poppy), 521 nucleotides long. RefSeq lists it as uncharacterized. The record is from RefSeq and is a predicted model, not a curated record. The transcript has 2 exons. Lineage: Eukaryota; Viridiplantae; Streptophyta; Magnoliopsida; Ranunculales; Papaveraceae.
AUUACUGAAGUGAACGUCUCUCGAUAUUUUUCUUUGCCUACAACACUAGUUUAACCAUCACCCACACCAUUAGUCGACCUUAGAAUCAACCAAGUUCAUGCAAGUACCCUUCUCUUACUCUCAUCCUCUAAAAACUUCGCAUCUUCUUGAUUCACAACAACUCCCUUCAAAUCCCCAAAAUCUGAACUUGCUUGAUUCAUUUUUUGAUAAAAUAAAUUCUGGAUUUGUACUUGUUUUGAUGAAAUAAAUUAAGGGUUGUUUUUUGUUUGCUAUCAGAAAAGAGAUCGAAGCGAUUUUAAGGAAAUGAUGUGCCUGCCCAAUUCUGAACAACAAAGUGAAGAAGAAGAAAAAUAUUUCAAUGGUGGUUCUAUUACAACCUCUGAAUCUGAAGAUUAAAAAAGUGAUGGAGGAGAAAUGGAGCUGAAAGAGAACCAUUUUUUUGUUAUUUUCUGAUUUUAACUGUAAUUCCAAAUAUGAAAAUCAUAUAAGAUUAUAGCAGAUGUUUUUUUGUUUUUUGUAAA